UAGCAUGCAGGGCAACGGGCAUUCUGCCUUUGGGUUGGACCGUGCAAGUUCCGGGAGAUUCCAGACAGUAAACCUGGCCUUCCUUCUUUCUACAGACUUUCCCAGACAGCCUGGACUGCAUGUGGGUCUGCUUGGCAGGAACAGAUGAGCCGUUCAGUGCCUACCAUGGAUGGAACAGUACAGCACAGAUGGGGACAGACUGCAAACUCUGCGACGCUUAAUAAAUGCCUGUACGUGCCAACUGUGGAGCCAGGCACUGGGAUCCACUGAAGGGCAGUGAGAUGGAUGGACCUUGCAGUCACAAAGCCCAGAGCGGGACAGGCUAUCACAGUCUGGAAGAACCUGGAGGUGGAGAAUCCAUUUGGGAGUCAUAUGUGUUGACUUCAGGCAAACCAGUUAAGGUCCCCACGUGUCUAUAUCUUGUCUGAGGCUAGGCAAGCCUCUCAAUCUGAUGGUCUCAGUGGCAUCACAGAGGGCAAAGGGACACAGCUCCUGGGUUUCAGUGGAGAGCCAGAAGAUAAGUUUAUCAUGUGGUCUGGGGACCCUAAGCCAUGCUCCGAAGCACCUGUCUCUGCUGGUAUAUGCUCUCUGCUUGGAAAGGCCCAGGUGGGAAUGAUCCCCCUUGAUGAUAGUGACACAUGCCAUGGGUGGGAGGAAGUGUGCAGUUGGUGGGGUGAGCGUGCCGGGUUGACACGUGGUGAGAGAGACACAAAUGAUGACAGCUCUUUUGACUCAGGUAUUCACUUAUCGACGGUUGCAAUUUCCCGAGGAUGGCGGUAGCAGUUUUAGCUGUUAGAAGUGAGUUAAUUAUAUUGCUGUGAGCUAGUAAAAUAAUAAGUGUUAACAUUUGCAUGUCGUUUUAAUUAAUAAAUAAAUGCCCUUGGAUGAAAAAGUGCCUGCUGGCUUACGGUAAUUAUCAACUUACUGAAGUCACCCUUUAGAAGGCAGCUCAAAAGAACCGUGGCACGAUCAGCCAUCAGUUGCAUCUGCCUGGGUGAGUCACAGCUGCAUCUGUCCUUGGAAUUCUCAGUGCUGUGCAGGUAAGGAGGGGAGGGGGGUAGCCUUCACCUCCCCUAGUGGGGUAGCAAUGUCACUAUUAUGUAAGCUGGGAUUCUAGGUAGACAGUUCUGCCUCAAACCCUAUCUAUUAACAAUCCCCUUUUGUUUCCUAGUUCAUUUUAUAAAAGAUAAACAUGGGUUAUCAUGUUAUGAAACUAUCUUGUUUAUGACUGACCAUCUAUUUCCUAUGUUGGAACAUGAGAACUUUUAGGGCCAGGAGCCAAAUCUGCCUGCCUUGCCACCCUCCCUCCCUCUUCCCUCCUCCUCUCCUUUUUUCUCCCUCCCCAUCCCU
Molecule: long non-coding RNA, 1350 nt
Organism: Mus musculus (house mouse)
Lineage: Eukaryota; Metazoa; Chordata; Mammalia; Rodentia; Muridae
Product: predicted gene, 39717
Exons: 4
Source: RefSeq, a predicted model, not a curated record